AUCAAUCCCAGCACAAGCUGUAUUGGUUUGUACAAGUACAUCAUUGUAGACGUCAUGUGAGGUGUCUUUGGCAAAAAAGUACCACUGCCGGAGAAUGUGUUUCGCAAGACUAGCAACCGUUACUAUUUGAAAAGGUGGAGGUCUGCAUGCAAUGGUGGAUGGUGCUAUGUAAACAUAGUGCUGUUUCAUCAUACAUCGGAGCCUCUCCACACCAUUUGGAAUGUUGCGAUAUGUAACUUUUAAAUUGUUAAAAUAGGCGUGGAUCGCCUCAGCCCCUUGCUCUCCCAUGAGUCCUAUUCCCACCUGCCACUGGUCCAGCCAAUCAACCACAUGCUUCUCUAGCAUGUGCAUCUUUGGUAUGACGGUUGCUUGAGGAAAUUGCUCCCGAUAAAAUGUCAUAAAGGUGGAGAUGUGAGUACCUUUGGAGUAAAUUUACAUGAGUUAGGGUGACACAAAACUUGCAC
This is a long non-coding RNA of Halichondria panicea, 464 nucleotides long. RefSeq lists it as uncharacterized. The transcript is spliced from 3 exons. NCBI's taxonomy places the organism in Eukaryota, Metazoa, Porifera, Demospongiae, Suberitida, Halichondriidae. The record is from RefSeq and is a predicted model, not a curated record.